UUAGAAGUGUGGUGCUUUUGGCAGUGAGUAUUGCCUUGAAUUCAUGGCAAUGAAUUCAAUCCCCAGGGGCUGAGAGAGCCAGUCGUGGGGGACAGUAAGGGAGGAUUUUACUCUUUCACCUGUCCCUGACCCUGACUCCUCCUCAUCUACUCCUACAUUUCCAGGGCUGAGGUAGGGAGGAUAGUUGUGGGGGUAUGACCCCUCUGUCCUUUGUCCCCAGCUCUGGGAGGGUCUCACGGAACUAGUGACGGCAACAGGCAACUAUGGCAACUACCGGCGUCGGCUGGCAGCCUGUGUGGGCUUCCGCUUCCCUAUCCUGGGUGUGCACCUCAAGGACCUGGUGGCCCUGCAGCUGGCACUGCCUGACUGGCUGGACCCAGCCCGGACCCGGCUCAACGGGGCCAAGAUGAAGCAGCUCUUUAGCAUCCUGGAGGAGCUGGCCAUGGUGACCAGCCUGCGGCCACCAGUACAGGCCAACCCCGACCUGCUGAGCCUGCUCACGGUGUCUCUGGAUCAGUAUCAGACGGAGGAUGAGCUGUACCAGCUGUCCCUGCAGCGGGAGCCACGCUCCAAGUCCUCGCCAACCAGCCCCACGAGUUGCACCCCACCACCCCGGCCCCCGGUGCUGGAGGAGUGGACAUCGGCUGCCAAACCCAAGCUGGAUCAGGCCCUCGUGGUGGAGCACAUCGAGAAGAUGGUGGAGUCUGUGUUCCGGAACUUUGACGUCGAUGGGGAUGGCCACAUCUCACAGGAAGAAUUCCAGAUCAUCCGUGGGAACUUCCCUUACCUCAGCGCCUUUGGGGACCUCGACCAGAACCA
RNAcentral lists this small RNA (819 nucleotides) under Pongo abelii (Sumatran orangutan). RNAcentral's name for it is "retained intron". Lineage: Eukaryota; Metazoa; Chordata; Mammalia; Primates; Hominidae. The record is from RNAcentral.